This 1233-nucleotide long non-coding RNA is filed under the name Nicotiana tabacum (common tobacco). RNAcentral's name for it is "long non-coding RNA (NTAB_LNC002216)". The record is from RNAcentral. Lineage: Eukaryota; Viridiplantae; Streptophyta; Magnoliopsida; Solanales; Solanaceae.
UGGAAUAGAUCCCUCUAAACGGCUCCUUGAAUAGUUACUGCGGCAUUUUUUUCCCCAACUCCAAUCCAAGCUUCAUAUUUUUCGCGAAAUACCAGAAGACAAGACAUCGUAUGUGUUAACUUUAUGUUAAAUUGCUAGUAUCCUCUCUAUUGAAAUGCAAAAUGGACUCCUCAUGCUUGGAUUAUUUGAUUGAAAUUAAUAACAGAACGCUGGGUUUCCUUUUGCCUUCUCUUAGGGUUUAGGGUUUGUUUGAUUAAGAAGUGGAAUAUUCUUUAAUAAUUUUGAGCUAUUAAUUUGGUAAACAACUUUUUUGGGUCGAUUUUAAUUACAAUUUGGAUUGCACCAAUAAUGAGUUUCCCUAAUAAAUUUCUAGUACUUUAUAGACCUAAUUUUGAAGUCUUGGAAAAGUUUAAUUGUUGAACUCUGACUUGUUUGUAUUACUAUCUGCAUGCAUGUGUGUGUCAAUGUAGUAAAAAAGGAGCUUUUUUUUUUUGUUCUUUUUUUUUUCUUCUGUAUGUAGGUCUUCUUCCACUUAGCUUAAUGUGCUUUAUGUUAUAUAUAUUUUUUUUUAAUGUUUUUUAAUCUUUUUGUUCCUGGAACUUCAUUUCUUGCAGAACUUCAUUUCUUUCCAGACUGAAUAUACUGGUUUUAUUAAGCAAGAGGUAACCUUUGUUUGUUUGGAGCAUAUAAUGAAAUCCUUUUGAAAUGCACCAGUACGGGGUUUGUCAUGGAGGGCAUCUAAUGCUAUAUUUUUCAUAUUUGAUUUAAUGCCGCUAUAUUUUGUCUUGAGAUUCUUUUGGUAAAAUAUGGCAUGGCAUGCUAUGUACUUCUGCACUGUGUUUUCUAUCAUGUUAUCCAUUGUUUAGGUUGAUGGUUGUAUAACAUGAAAUUUUAUCUUUUGGCAUGUUUUUACAUAUGCUUCGACAUAUUGCAUAAAUAUUCUGAUGUGAAACCACUGAUGUUUACCAGGGUUGCUUCUGAUUUGGCCAUCCUGCCAUGGCUAAUAAUUCUCACUUCACUGCCAUGCAGGUAUCCCUUCCAGAAGAAUCUUUUUCCCUUUUCCUAAAGUUAGAAAAUUUCGGUUUAAUAUAAAAUUCUUAUGCAUUCUCUGGUAUUUAUACAUCAAAUACUUUGGUAUCUCUGGUACAUUGAAUACGUUGGUGUCAAAAUCUGUGUAUGUAGAGAAUAAGGUUCUACCACUUUUUGUAUACCACUUAUAUACCGGAAUUUUCC